Non-coding RNA from Pelobates cultripes (western spadefoot toad), 262 nucleotides. The record is from the annotation of a GenBank genome assembly. NCBI's taxonomy places the organism in Eukaryota, Metazoa, Chordata, Amphibia, Anura, Pelobatidae.
GGGAUUGGACUUUUGGUCUUGGUACAUGGCUCAGUAUGUUAAUUAAGAAAAUAUUGUAUUUCUUACUUAUCGCAGUAUUUGUCAUAAUGAUGAUUUUUCUGACAUUUAAGUUCUUCUCCUGUCUUCUAUCAUCCUUGUGUAAAUCAAAACCUCAUGUUGGUCGUACCUUAACUUAUAUGCCAGCUUCCUCAACUUCUGACACCUACAGAGCUGUAUAACUGAUGAAGGAACAUUCCUCCUGUGACCCCUGGCUUGCCCUGUC